CCUACGGGAGGCAGCAGUGGGGAAUAUUGCACAAUGGGGGGAACCCUGAUGCAGCAACGCCGCGUGGGUGAAGAAGUACUUCGGUAUGUAAAGCCCUGUCAGCAGGGAAGAAAAUGACGGUACCUGACCAAGAAGCCACGGCUAACUACGUGCCCGCAGCCGCGGUAAUACGGAGGGGGCAAGCGUUAUCCGGAUUUACUGGGUGUAAAGGGAGCGUAGACGGGAAGGCAAGUCGGGGGUGAAGGCCCGUGGCUCAACCAGGGGACUGCCUUGGAAACUGUUUUGCUGGAGUGCAGGAGGGGUAAGCGGAAUGCGUGGUGUAGCGGUGAAAUGCGUAGAUAUUACGAGGAACACCGAUGGCGAAGGCGGCUUACUGGACUGUAACUGACGUUGAGGCUCGAAGGCGUGGGGAGCAAACAGGAUUAGAUACCCGGGUAGUC
RNAcentral lists this ribosomal RNA (440 nucleotides) under uncultured bacterium. Its description in RNAcentral is "partial 16S ribosomal RNA". It matches the Rfam family "Bacterial small subunit ribosomal RNA", at positions 338 to 795 of the family's 1533-position model. The record is from RNAcentral.